UUCAAUGAUACGGUGGGGAGCGGGGAGGGGACAUUAGUACAUGUCCAAAUUGUUCCUCUUGCCCUUUACUAACCUCCCCAAAUCCAGUGAUUAAAUGUCAUUAAAACAGUAAGAUCCAUUUGUGUAGGCGACACAGCAGAAGGCAGGAAUAUUAGUCCACCAGGGCCAGUUUGCAGUCCAUGUGCUUGCUUAUGUGAGCUCACAGGGGAGGUAUUCUGUGAGUGGUAAAGUCAUGGGUAUGGCAAAUAUAUAAAUUAAGAUAUAUAUUUAUUUAUUUAUUUAUAUAUAAAACAAAGUGCACUCUUUUUAGCUACAUAUAAAGCAAGCAUAUAAAGCCUAUAAGUAUCCAGUGGAACUCGACAAUUCUGGUUUGCUUUAAUAAUCAACGUAUGGCAUCUUUUGUCACUUUUUGCUAAAAAAAUGGCAUCCUUAUUUCAUAUGCAGAGUGUGCUUAAUAUUAGAGAGUCAGGCUCAGUUUACAUAUGGAGAACAGUGUAUAGGCAGAAACACAGAAACUCUGUGUGUGCACCAAGUGUCACACCUUUCACAUGCUUUGCAUGUGUGGUUGCAGAGGUUAGUUAGCAAUAGCUGAGUGUAAGCUAUAAGCGUGUGUGUGUGUGUGUGUGUGUGUGUGUGUGUGUGUGUGUGUGUGUGGGUGCAAUCAUGGUUAGAGCAGGGCAGUGUCCUGAGCUGACACCUGCCAACCACACGGCUGUGCAAACAAGCAACAGGUGGCCUCACCCAGGGCAGACAUUUGACAAUUUUACAGCAGAUAACAUAGUGCUUUUACUUGUUCUAGAAUGACGCAUGUUUUAAAACUGAUAAAGAGUUUUUACCCUUGUAGAUAACUGUGCACAAUCAAACUAUAUAAACAGUAUUGAUUCAAAAAGCAUCAUAAAUAAUUAUUGCCAGUGUACAUUGCUAAAUGCUUUUUAGACGAUGAACAAAAUUGUGCACAAAACAACUAUCCAAACUUUACAAAGAGAGCAAUUGUUGUAAACUGCAGCUGCAUCUGUAAGAAGAAAGAAAGCAGAACAGUCCACGUGAAGGGGGAAAAUGCGUAUAGGACUGUCUUGGCUGCUCCCUUUUUGUUUCUGAUUCAAACUUCCAGAGUAGUUGCAGCUGGCACAUAUGACCCACUCCCCUCAUUAGAUACCCAUGUGUAUUGAUGGGAACCCCUCUACCCCCUGGUAAGUUUACCCCCACUCUAACAAUCUCUGGGUGCUUUAGAAACAGUCAGAGCUCUUCUUGAAAUGCUGCCAACAGGGGCUGGCCCUAAGCCGGCGCAGCUGAAACUUUUACAAGCUCCCUGCUUGCAAAGGCAGGAAGGCAAAGACAUGGUGAGAGAUUUGUGAAGGCAGUCUCUCUCUUUCUCUCUCUCUCUCUCUCUGUUUCUCUCACUCACUCUCUCUUUCUGCUAUCGUUACUGCCUCUGUUGUUCUCAUUUCUUUUAACCAUAAACUUUUGGAGUGGACUACUGUUAACUGUGGAAAGGCUUUUCUCCAGUAUUUUUUGUGAUGGGGGUAGAGUGUAUACGUGUUGGCUGCAGAGGGGAGGAGCUGAGGAGUACAGUGGGGAGAGCAAAAUAAAUGAACAUACAACAAAAGCGAACGAAGGGGGCCGUGACAUCACACACUGAGCUGUCCUGGACAAUGCCUGAGAUGCGGACUAUGGACGGCAAGCACCUCACUCGCUUUUUAUUUAACUAUCUCAGCACAUUUGUCUCAGGAAUAGGGCAAAGCACUCCUUUUUGCUAGUCACACUGGAUUAUUUCAGUGACACUUCUCUCUCUUGGCCAGCUGGCAGCAUGGGCUCUGAACCCCUUUCUCGCCACAGCUGAAAAGGAUUCGUCAAAGGCACAGCAUACUCCUGGAAUCAGUGUUUUUAAGAAAAACAAAUGAAUUGCACUCUUAACCUUCUUGCAAACUCAGCUUAUUAGUGUCCUAAAAAAACGAGGCCAAAAGUUGGACUGUGGACUGGCGGAUUCUCUUUCACCUACAAAAGUCGUACAUUUGGAUUGUUUUGUAAUUUUUUUAAACAGAAAAGAUGUCUUUCCUAAAUUAAAGCAUAUAUAACUGCACUUGUGCUAACCAAAAUAAUAUUUAACCAUUAUUUCUAUGAAAGCGCGAAUACGAUAAGGGAAAUUCGCUCGGAAAGCACAGGCAUCACCAGGGCAGCUAAAGACGCUGCAAUGACUUCUGUAGAAGGGGAACAGAGAGGCAUGUACUACCUGGGACGAAUGCCAAAUGCUGACAAAAGACUUCACCACACUCUCUCUCUCUCUCUCUCUCUCUCUCUCUCUCUCUGGGAGAAAUCAUAGUUCUUUAUUCUAAGGGUGGCUUAAAUCACUGGCAUUAUCUCUUAAUUCGAACCUGCUCACAGAACAGAAGUCAAAGCUUGUGUAAGUAUGCUGAUAUGAUUCUCUACAUAGUUGUGUUUUUCGCAACAAACGUGCUUGUUUUUUUUUUUUUUUUUGUACUUUUUUGUCAACUGUCAAAAGUGCUCAUGGUGGGAUGUGUCAAGAUUUGUUGUUUUGCUGAUUUUGGAGGGAAUCCAUUCUCCCUCCAUGCCUAAGGGCCCUGGCAGUCGAGCGUCGUAUAAUGUUUGAGAUGAAAUGGUGAAGGAAACCCUACUUUGCCUGGCAACUCUUGCAAAGACUUUGCUCUCUCUCACCCAAAAGGAAGCACGUCCUCUAAAAAUAUUACUACCCCAAAUUAUUUCAUCUUCCCUUCUCGCACUGCUGUGACCUCAUGCUGUCUCUUUCCCAUUAGUUUCUUGGCAUCAUGCUUGAAGUAGGCAGGGAGAUAGGAGGGCAUGGCUGCAGAGUGUUACUGCUGGCUUGGUUAGGUUCUCUUGCUUUCGCCUUUUUUCUCUGUCCUCUUUCGCCAGCUAAUUAUCAAGACACAGAAAUAAUCUUUAAUUUCCCUCUUCUUCUACCUCCUCCUUCCCUGUCUACCCACCCGCCCAUCGUGCUCCCUAGCCCUUGGCCCGAAUUGCUGUGUCGUCCAGCAGAAUUCAUACUCAGGUAUUUCCCACUUUUCAAUCAGUUCGGACACUGUUUUCCUAACAAUUAACUUUCUGCUUUUUUACAAGUGUUCCCUUUUUCUCGCUUUUGUGCUCAUUCUGGCUUCUUUCGUCCUCAUUGUCCGCCUGUACACGUGUCUGCCUUCCCUCCGUCGCCAUUGCUACCACAUCCACCAUUAUGGUGCGGUCUGAUUUAAGAAUUACUCUCUACUAACGUGAGAUAUGUUAGCACUCGACCGUACUCGAGAAAUCGAAGACUUCGCGCCAUCUGAUAACGAAAGAAACUUCAUCAGAUUUCAUCAUGUCUGUGUUUGUCGUGUAUUCACAGCCAGGCUGAGCUCAGUCAUAUCAUGCAACUUGUUUGUAUGAUGGCGGCCAACAAAGCGCUUUACAAAGAUAAAGUAAAUGAAUGUAUAUAGUUUAUUAGACCAAGCAGCAAAAGAAUUGGGCUGCUUUUACAGUAAAUUGCAUAGUAGCAACCUUAAAAAACAAAAGGUAAGUGGCUUUUGACUUAUAAACAACAACAACGCUGACAGGAUAAAAGUAUCUAUAACAUACUCUAUUUCUCUUGACACUGAGAGCUUUUAAGGUAAUCUUUCUUCUCCAGCUGAUAUUUAACUUUUAUUGUAGAAUGAAUUCUAUUGUAGAAUAAGUUCUUCCAAUGCAAGAGCAACUUUGGAAAACAAUAUUUGAACAGAUUUAUAACCAAAAACAGCUUUAAAAAAAAGUAACAAGAAGCUAUGAAUUAAUUAGAUUUAUAUUGAUCUAUUCUUUAACAUAAAGAAGAUGCUUUCGAACGAUUGAUGUCUAUAUAGUAGUUUUGUUGCUUUCCCUACCGCUGCAUUACAUGCAUACAAAAACGUUAUCACUUAAGCCAUAUAUACAUACAAUAACAAGUUUUUAUGUACACAUCCAUUAAAUCCACAUAUGUUUGUCAUUAAAAUGCCUAUUCCUAUUUCACAUAUGUCUGUAUAAUAUAUAAAAUGCAUAUUUUUACUGCACGGUUUGUGUGAACAAGUGGCCUUUCCGUAGUUCUGCUCACCUACUUAACAGAUUACAAGUACGUUUUGUAUAGCACAUAACAGAAAUAACUACCUCGUGCAGUUUUUUCGUAGCAUAAAUAAAGGAUCAGUCUGCCGACCAUUACAAUGCUAUCACAAAGCAAGAGAAAAAUGGGCGUAUAAUGUUGUUCAAAAAUCGGAGAUGGAGAGAGCAGGAGAAAUAAAGGGCGGGGUGACAGGCAGAAAAUGAGAAGGAUUUCCCCUCCCCUCUGCUAUCCUCAGAUGAACUUGUCGUGUUACUUCAUGAUAUUUUCUUUCAGGCCUGCCAUCUCUACUUCCUGCUAUUUUUGUGUCCCCUCCUCCCCCCUCCCUCUUUCUUUCUUUCUUUCUUUCUUUCUCCCUCUGUCUUUGACUAUUAGCGGCAUGGUAACCAGGAAUAAAGUCGCACUUCCUUUAUCAGGAAACACAUUUCAGCUAUGGAGUUUGAUUAAAAGCGCACCGAAUUACAUCCAUUUUAUUUUGCCUACGUGAAACGAUUUAUGAGUGUUGUGCUGGUGUGAAAGCUACUGUCCUUAAGGCUGAGGUAGUAGAUUGAAUAGUUGUGGGGUAUUAAUCCUCUCUCUGAGAUAACUAUACAAUCUACUGUCUUUCCUAAGGAGACAGUCUGAUCAACCCCCAGCUCGUUGAUGACUGGACAUCAGGGUGAAUCAACAUCUACUCAUGGAGCUUUAAUUUAAAAAAAGAAAGUACAUUCUUAUUGCUGGAAUUGGUUGUAUUGUCUGUUGUUAAGUAAUUAAAUGAUUAGAAAUUUUAAUUCAGGUAAUGUGUUGCCACAAGAUGAGGUAGUAGGUUGUAUAGUUUGUGGGAAUCAUCACAUCCUAUUGAGGUGAUAACUAUACAGUCUAUUGCCUUCCUUGUGAGACACAAUGACAUGGAGAAAGUCUUCAGCAGUUGAUUUCUUCAUAAUGGCCAAAGAAUUAGACUAGUCUACUGAAUUGAUAGUAUUCCAAUGUAAAAUAUUUGCCCAGCCAUAUUAAAAUGCAAUGAUCUUUCUUUAGACCACUUUGUACUUGUGCUAUGUAACUGUUUUUUUUUUUCCUCCAGCACCUUUAUAAAAUAAAAUGUUGAAUCAG
Silurus meridionalis is the source of this 5158-nucleotide long non-coding RNA. RefSeq lists it as uncharacterized. The transcript is spliced from 2 exons. The record is from RefSeq and is a predicted model, not a curated record. Lineage: Eukaryota; Metazoa; Chordata; Actinopteri; Siluriformes; Siluridae.